UGCAGUCGAGCGAACAGAUAAGGAGCUUGCUCCUUUGACGUUAGCGGCGGACGGGUGAGUAACACGUGGGUAACCUACCUAUAAGACUGGAAUAACUCCGGGAAACCGGGGCUAAUGCCGGAUAACAUUUAGAACCGCAUGGUUCUAAAGUGAAAGAUGGUUUUGCUAUCACUUAUAGAUGGACCCGCGCCGUAUUAGCUAGUUGGUAAGGUAAUGGCUUACCAAGGCAACGAUACGUAGCCGACCUGAGAGGGUGAUCGGCCACACUGGAACUGAGACACGGUCCAGACUCCUACGGGAGGCAGCAGUAGGGAAUCUUCCGCAAUGGGCGAAAGCCUGACGGAGCAACGCCGCGUGAGUGAUGAAGGGUUUCGGCUCGUAAAACUCUGUUAUUAGGGAAGAACAAACGUGUAAGUAACUGUGCACGUCUUGACGGUACCUAAUCAGAAAGCCACGGCUAACUACGUGCCAGCAGCCGCGGUAAUACGUAGGUGGCAAGCGUUAUCCGGAAUUAUUGGGCGUAAAGCGCGCGUAGGCGGUUUCUUAAGUCUGAUGUGAAAGCCCACGGCUCAACCGUGGAGGGUCAUUGGAAACUGGGAGACUUGAGUGCAGAAGAGGAAAGUGGAAUUCCAUGUGUAGCGGUGAAAUGCGCAGAGAUAUGGAGGAACACCAGUGGCGAAGGCGACUUUCUGGUCUGUAACUGACGCUGAUGUGCGAAAGCGUGGGGAUCAAACAGGAUUAGAUACCCUGGUAGUCCACGCCGUAAACGAUGAGUGCUAAGUGUUAGGGGGUUUCCGCCCCUUAGUGCUGCAGCUAACGCAUUAAGCACUCCGCCUGGGGAGUACGACCGCAAGGUUGAAACUCAAAGGAAUUGACGGGGACCCGCACAAGCGGUGGAGCAUGUGGUUAAUUCGAAGCAACGCGAAGACCUUACCAAUCUUGACUCCUUUGACACUCUAAAGAUAGAGUUUCCCCUUCGGGGGACAAAGUGACAGGGGGUGGCUGGUUG
Molecule: ribosomal RNA, 1009 nt
Filed under: Staphylococcus cohnii
Lineage: Bacteria; Bacillati; Bacillota; Bacilli; Caryophanales; Staphylococcaceae
Description: bacterial SSU rRNA
Rfam family: Bacterial small subunit ribosomal RNA
Source: RNAcentral